CAGGAUGAACGCUAGCUACAGGCUUAACACAUGCAAGUCGAGGGGCAGCAUGAAGUCAGCUUGCUGACUUGAUGGCGACCGGCGCACGGGUGAGUAACGCGUAUCCAACUUCCCCUUAGUAGGGCAUAGCCCGUAGAAAUGCGGAUUAAUACCCUAUGUUAUUCGUCGAUGACAUCUGAAGUGAAUCAAAGGUUUACCGCUAAGGGAUGGGGAUGCGUCUGAUUAGGCAGCAGGCGGGGUAACGGCCCACCUGGCCGACGAUCAGUAGGGGUUCUGAGAGGAAGGUCCCCCACAUUGGAACUGAGACACGGUCCAAACUCCUACGGGAGGCAGCAGUGAGGAAUAUUGGUCAAUGGUCGAGAGACUGAACCAGCCAAGUAGCGUGCCAGGACGACGGCCCUAUGGGUUGUAAACUGCUUUUAUGCGGGGAUAAAGUGCGGCACGUGUGCCGUUUUGUAGGUACCGCAUGAAUAAGGACCGGCUAAUUCCGUGCCAGCAGCUGC
This 503-nucleotide ribosomal RNA is filed under the name uncultured bacterium. Its description in RNAcentral is "bacterial SSU rRNA". It matches the Rfam family "Bacterial small subunit ribosomal RNA", at positions 25 to 518 of the family's 1533-position model. The record is from RNAcentral.